Molecule: ribosomal RNA, 621 nt
Filed under: Silphopsyllus desmanae
Lineage: Eukaryota; Metazoa; Arthropoda; Insecta; Coleoptera; Leiodidae
Description: partial 16S ribosomal RNA
Rfam family: Bacterial large subunit ribosomal RNA
Source: RNAcentral
GUCUUUUUGAUUAUAAUUUAAAGUCUAACCUGCCCAAUGAGGAAUUUAAUGGCUGCAGUAUUUUAACUGUACAAAGGUAGCAUAAUAAUUAGUUUUUUAAUUAAAAACUAGUAUGAAUGGUUGGACAAGAUAAAAACUGUCUCUAUUUUAAUUUAAUUAGAAAUUUAUUUUUAAGUAAAAAAGCUUAAAUAUUUUUAAAAGACGAGAAGACCCUAUAGAGUUUUAUAAGAAUUUAUAUUUAAAUAUUUUAGAAUAAUUAUUUUAUAAUAUUUUUUUUUAUUUUAUUGGGGUGAUAUAAAAAUUUAAAAAACUUUUUAUUAAUUUAACAUAGAUUUAUGAUAAAAUGAUCCAUUAUUUAUGAUUAAAAGAUUAAAUUACCUUAGGGAUAACAGCGUAAUUUUUUUUGAGAGUUCUAAUCGAAAAAAAAGAUUGCGACCUCGAUGUUGGAUUAAAGUUAAUUUUUGGUGUAGAAGCUAUAAAAUUAGGUCUGUUCGACCUUUAAAACUUUACAUGAUCUGAGUUUAAACCGGUGUGAGCCAGGUUGGUUUCUAUCUUUAAAAAAUUUAAAUAUUUUAGUACGAAAGGACCAAAUAUUUGUAAUAAUUAUUGUAAAGUGAGUUA